Molecule: ribosomal RNA, 27 nt
Filed under: uncultured mycorrhiza of Neottia nidus-avis sp. 1
Lineage: Eukaryota; Fungi; Basidiomycota; Agaricomycetes; Sebacinales; Sebacinaceae
Description: partial 28S large subunit ribosomal RNA
Source: RNAcentral
AACUUGACCUCAAAUCGAGUAGGACUA